UAGGGUUAACUCUUCACUCUCUUUAACACACCACGACACGAAAUCACAACCCUCUAGUGUGUACAUGUGGUUGUCUGUGUAGAUACAGAAUGAAUUAGGGUUGCUUCAGUAUGACAUGCUUUUAAUGGAACGUGGUCCGAGAUGAGUUCAUUCAGCAAGACUGGUCUAUAAUGAACUGAGCUGGGUUCUUCAAGCAUUUUAUACAAAACCUAAACAAUAAUAAAUGCACCAUCGUGUUUUCUUGAUGUUUUGAUGUGUGUAAUGUUUGUUUAAUCCAACCAUCCAUCCAUCUUCUAUACCGCUUUAUCUUUCUUCAGGGUCACGGGGAACCUGGAGCCUAUCCCAGGGAGGAUCACAAGGCGGGGUGCCAAUCCAUCACAGGGCACAAUCACAUACACAUUCACACACCCAUUCAUACACUACGGAUACUUUGGACACGCCAAUCAGCCUACCGUGCAUGUCUUUGGACAGGAGGAGGAAACCGGAGUACAUGGAGGAAACCCGCACAGCAUUGAGAGAACAGGGAAACUCCACACACACAGGGCCACGGUGGGAAUCAAACCCCCAACCCUGAGGCGAAUGUACUAAUCAAAAGCCACCGUGCGCCCUGUUUGUUUAAUGUGAAAAGAAAUCUUCUUUUAGAGUAUCUGAAACGUCUCCUCAUGCUUCUAGUUUAUGCUUCUUUUAUCCGUCUACCCACAAGAUUACGGUCCAAACAAAUGAUGAAAGUAGGCUAUUUUUUCAUAAUGUGUGUUAGUGCAUAAAGUGCGUCAAGGGAAAGUUGAUAUUCUUCUCAUUUCGAAGUGAUUUACCUACAGUAUAUGGCCACAAGUUUGACCGAUCACAUGUACUGUAUAUAUGUUUGUUCCAGAUUUAGUCCCCCUUUACUGUUAUAAUAAGCUCCACUCUUCUGGGAAGGCUUUUCCACUAGAUUUUGGAGCAUGGCUGUGGGGAUUUGUGUUCAUUCAGCUACAAGGGAGGUCAAGCACUGAUGUUGGGAUGUCAAGGAGGUCUGGGGUGAACGCUGUGUUUUAGUUCAACUCAAAAGGUGUUGAAUGGGGUUGAGGUCAAGGCUCUGUGCAGGACACUUGAGUUCUUCCAGUCCAACCUUAACACAUCAUGUCUUCAUGGAGCUCGCUGUGUGCAUCGUCAGGCUGGAAUAAGUUUGGGCCUCGUAGAUCCAGUAAAUUGAAAUUGUAAUGUUACAGCAUACAAAGACAUUCUAUAUAUUUAUGUGUUUCCAACUCUGUGGCAACAUUUUGGGGAAGAACCACAUUUAGGUGUGAUGCUUGGCUGUCCGCAUACUUUUGGCCAUAUAGUGUGUCUUGUUUAGUGAGUAGCACCAUUCAUAGAUCCAAACAGUUCAUUUCCAUAUGAAGCUAUAUUAAGCGGCAUGUGCGGAUUCUCAGAUAAAGUUGCAAUCUAAUCAUUAACAGGUUUGACUUCCUUUGAACUGGAGCCACAAAAUAAAGCCUAACGCUGUACUUCCUUCUAACGACGUUUUUCCUCUUAAAAAACAAAAUCCGACGAAAACCAAGCAAACAGUAAACCCUAAUUUUACAUAUAUAGAAAUGGCCUUUUAUUGUCUGCUGUGAACAGUGAUCCUGCGGCUUUCAGUUCCUGUUCAGAAGAAACUUUAAAAAGAACAGAAAAUUAAAUGUUCUCCUUUUUUGGUUGCAAUACUAACAGCUAUCGGCUAUUUAUUGAUAUUGAGAGAGAGAGAGAGAGAGAGAGAGAGAGAGAGAGAGAGAGAGAGAGAGAGAGAGAGAGAGAGAGAGAGAGAGAGAGAGAGAGAGAGAGAGAGAGAGAGAGAGAGAGAGAGAGAGAACGUGUUUACUAGCUCUGGGAGUCGAUUCUAUAAAGAGUCGAAUCCUCGACUCGGUUAGUCGAACCAAAAGUGUUGGAGUCGAUUCCAUCGAGUCAAAUGGAUUUGGCCCAUGUUCGCGUGCUGGUACAAGUAACAAAUACACGUGAGUGUAUAUCAUUAGAUAAAGCAUAAAGAAAUCUUAAUGUGUUUGUAGAACAUGUUACAAAAAUCCGACAAUAAAACAGUGUGACGAAUGAAAAGGUGUCUUAAGGUUAGCCAGCCAAAAUGUGACGACUCGCUUCAGGGUUGUGAUGGAUGUGGAGCUAUCCCAGGAGUUUUGGGCGAGAGACGAGAAUGCACCCUGGAUGAAGGCCAUUCAGCGCGCUGAGGCAUGGGAUCUCUCCUUCAUCUUAGGGCCAGAGUGGUAAUGUUAUGACUGCAGGCAGAUGGAGAAAGCUGCUUCUCUUUACUCAAAAACAAUCCAUUUCCUUCCUUCAUUCGUUCAUUUUUGCGCUCAAGUUCUCCUCACCCUAUCUAUCUCUCCGUCCCAUCCAUCCAUCCAUCCAUCCACCCACGUUUGAAUAGAUAGGUUAUGAAAAAUGUACAUCUUCGUUCAUUUACUCCACCCCGUUACCCCAACACAUUCACCCCUGUGACAUAUUUGGAAUAUGCUGCAAGUCACGUGUUCAACAGGAAGUUGCAUCAUCUGAAUUUACCGAAGAUCAUGGGAAGAAGAACAGAGUGUGGCUGCGUUCAGGACAUGUCAGAAUUACCAUCAUUGCUAAAUAACAACCCGGACGUUCAACUCGGAGCUGUUCACAUCCUUCGACUCGGAAUUAUGUGACGUUAGACGAAAUGGCCUUUGAUCUGUUUGAGGCGUCGUCCCGUACUUCCCAACCACAUGACUCUCCUGUCCACCUUCUCGGACGACGUGAUUGGUGGCUCUGCUCACCUUCUCUAAGGGUUAUGGCUGCACCUCCACGUUUUAAUCAGCUCUAAUGGAUCUGCUGGCUGGGAUUCAAGUCGUGAAUGGAAUCUCUGGCAGCUGCGGCGACUUAAUUGGAUUAAACUUCCGGGACCAAGGACAUGACGGAGGACGAACAAGGGACGCGAGAGGGUGGAGUCGCGUCAUCUACGUCACCGACUUCAUUAUCAUCAUCAUCAUCAUCAUCAUCAUCCCCAACCCCCCAACCUUCACCACCCUCAAGAAACUGUCGCAGUGGAGAGGAAAAAAAGCCCAUCCCGAUCAACCACCCCCCUUUCUUCUCCACCACCCACUCCUUCACACACUCCGCCCCCGACAAUAUAUCCGGAGCACUUAGCGGAAUGUCCUAGUGCGUCAGCUGACCUGUGGAGGCCCCGAUAGCGCCGAUCAGGACAGAGGGUACGGCCAUAAUGAUGCAGCCGAAGGCAGCCAGAAAGGAAAGGACUUGGGCGUAGGUAGCUGAAGACGCAGAAAGAACCCGCUGGAAAUAGACCUGCCAGGGAAUUCCCCCCAACAUCUAGGAACAAGAACGGCAUGGCUCCAGCAUUGAUUGAGCUCCCGGUGUUCCUUACCGAGGGCUGAUAAGAUGGCGGCGGACCAGAAGAUCUCCCCCAUGAGCGCGGGGAUGAAGAGCAGGCCGCCCAUGCGCUUUCCGUACAGCUGCUGGAAAGGGUCCAACAUGGUGACGUAGCCACGGGAGCGCAUGGGCUUGGCGAAGAACAGACCACCUUAAUGUCAGGGGAAUACAGAAUAUAGAUAAGAUGAUGAUGAUAAUGAUGAUGAUGAUGAUGAUGAUUGAUAAUUAGACAUGAAUGAGAGGCAGGGGCACCGCUAGGGUUUCUGGGCCCCCUGGCUAAUCUGUACUCUGGGCCCCAAGCCCCCACCCCCCCAAUUAUCUUUUCUUAUUGCCAAGUGUGAAAACAAUCAUUAUCAAUAAACAUAACAAUUAUUGCACAUUCAAUAAGAGACUAUAUAGAACUAAAUAUGAACAGUUUAUUAAAUUAACUGAAAUCAUGCAUUUAUAACUAUAUACAAAUAUAUACCAUUGUUCUCUCUCUCUCUCUCUCUCUCUCUCUCUCUCUCUCUCUCUCUCUCUCAUAUACACAGACACUAUAGAAACUCUGUCUGGAUGUCUUUACAAGCUAUCGACUUGUAAUUUCUUAUUACCCAAGAAUCAAGAAACUGUACAAUUAUUAUUAUUCAUUGAGUGAAUAAUUCAAUUCAAUUUAAUUUGUAUAGCGCUUUUAACAACAAUGGACAUUGUCCCAAAGCAGCUUUACAGAAAUAUAUGAGUUCGGAAUAUAAAUUUUACAUUUAUGGAUUUUUCCCUAAUGAGAAAGCCGGAGGCAACGGCGGCGAGGAAAAACUCCCUGAGACGAAAUGAGGAAGAAACCUUGAGAGGAACCCGACUCAGAAGGGAACCCGUCCUCAUCUGGGUGACACCGGAUAGUAUCAUUUAUAAAUAAUUCCUUCUAUACUACAUGUUCAAAUAGUGCAGAUGUGUAACCAGGAAAAUCUAUUACAGUUUUACAUAAGGUCUGUUUUGUUGAACUUCUCCACUGUUCACUGAUGGAGACUUGAGCACAAAACUGUCCGUGGCAAUUGCAGCGCUGAGGCUAUAAUAGCGAUUUAUAGUCCUGGCCAUCAUCGCAUAACUGUUCACACGAGUUGAGGUCCAAAGCCUUCCCCCAUGGUCUUCAAGUGACACCAUCCUCAGCAAUCCCAGUGAUCUUUAAGCUGCACCACGUGGGGAACACACCACGGAACUUGUACGUUUCACACACCAGCAGCUCCAGAGAGAAAUGUGGAAAUGAGCUAAAACAGUCACACGAUCACUGAACCAGUGAGUUGAAUUUGAAGAAUCAAAUCGGUUCUAUUCGUUUAUGAAUCAUUCAGACUGGUUUUAUCAACGGGAUUCUCCAAUACACUGAAAUGAACCGACUCAAAGAAACGAUUCACUCACGAAUCGGACAUCAUUACAACACUUCUCUCAUAAACUCACUCGGGACUGUCUGAGGGCAUUUAUUAUAGCGUGCUUCUUUAUAGAUUAUUGUGCAAAGAGGCCAUUUAAAUACCAAAAUCAUACAGCAACGUAUGGGGUUCUGCUGGGCCCCCGGUCUGACCAGGGCCUUUAGAAUCGUCCUAAUCUUCACCCGUUAUUGAGCCCCUGAUGAGAGGAUCCAGGAAGAGUAUUCAUGGAGCGUGCGCAUGGUGGUAAUAACAACAACAACAACAACAACAAUAAUAAUAAUAAUAAUAAUAAUAAUGAUAUUAUUAAUUAUCCUACCCACUACGAGACUCAUGGCGUAUCCAAAGGGAGCCUGCGCCCAGGCCAAGCCGAAACCGGGCAGAUACACAUACUCAGCCGUGCCGUUAAUGUAUCCACCUCCCACCCAUGUAGCUGCAAAUAUAAAACACACACACACACACACACACACGUACAGUUUAAACACUUCUAAUUUAACCUGACACAACAACUAAAUGGAUAAACUGCAGAAACACCGAGAUGUUAAAUAAUUGAAUGCGUUGAAACUGUAUCUAUAGCCUACACUCUCACAAGUAAAGGUACCAAACUGUACUUGUCCUUGUUGCUGGCGUGGAACCAUUUUUCCCCCCUUUAUACCAUACAGCAUUCAU
Molecule: long non-coding RNA, 5429 nt
Organism: Ictalurus punctatus (channel catfish)
Lineage: Eukaryota; Metazoa; Chordata; Actinopteri; Siluriformes; Ictaluridae
Exons: 9
Source: RefSeq, a predicted model, not a curated record